This is a long non-coding RNA of Olea europaea var. sylvestris, 1083 nucleotides long. RefSeq lists it as uncharacterized. NCBI's taxonomy places the organism in Eukaryota, Viridiplantae, Streptophyta, Magnoliopsida, Lamiales, Oleaceae. The record is from RefSeq and is a predicted model, not a curated record. The transcript has 2 exons.
ACCCAUUUCAACAUAGCCAUUAACUGGCCCACACCAUAACCCUCAUCUCCGCCAACACCUAAUCACUCAACAAUAUUCAGCGUCCCCGUGCCUGUACGUCGUCAACCGGGCCCAUUAGCUACUCCCACCAACGUCCCUCCCCCACGCCGACGACACCACUCUCCAGCACCACCGACAUCAGUGGUGCAUCUCUCACUCGCCGCUACUAACACCUCUCUGCCACUUCGACAACAGCACACCCGGUCUCCAACUUCAUCUCUUUCCAGGCACCGUUGCCGCUCCUACUGUCGCUCCCGCCUCACCCGUCGCCACCGGCAGAACCUCACCAUCAAUUGGACACAACCCAUAACUCCAAACAUUUUCCAGUUCGAGCCUCUUUCUUUAUGUCUGCUUAAACUGCUGCGACACCACACUUAUAAUAUCCAAUACACAAUCAUCAGCUUGUCAUCAGAUUUUACUGCUUGCUAUGCAUUGAAUUUGCGGCUGACAAUACCGAUUAAAAUUCUGGAAAUGGGACGAGAGAAGCAAUUUAUUGAACUGAUUAUUGAAGCCGUCCAUAUGUGUGAAUUGGAACAGGAAAAUAGAUUGUACCACCACCGGUUGGACUGAGGUCUCAUGAGUACGCGCCAACAACUUCAAGCUUCCGUGGGCACCGCCUCUACAAUCGGACAAUGAGUCCUUGUACGCUGUUUAAUAUAAUCACUCCGUGGGAAGAGGCUAUACAAACAAAAUACAAGGGCUUACAGGAAUGUACAUCUGUAAGAGGUAUUUUGGGCUUAUUCAGUAUGCUUGAAAAGUCAUAAAUCUUAUCAUAUUCUAUUAUGAGAAUGACAUUUUCUAAAUGCCUAACUUCAUUAGCCGCCCUGGGCAAUUUUUAGCCAUGCAUUCUGCUGAUUUGGAUCUUUCUGUAAGUCUAGCAAUGAGCCUGAUGAACUGGUGAAAGGGAUUCCAUAUAGUCGAUCCGAAUUAUUGAGAAUAAGGUUUAAUUUAUUGUUUUGUUUUUGUCUUCUUGAGCUUUCUAAACACAUUGAGACUGCUAAAUAUCUUUUGUUGUCUUGAAUUUACUGCUUCAAUAGUUGCAUA